UUGGAGACUACAACGUUGAUAGGCAAGGUGUGGAAGCAUAGUGAUAUGUUAAGCUAACUUGUACUAAUUACCCGUGAGGCUUAACCAUACAACGCCAAACGCGUUU
Molecule: ribosomal RNA, 106 nt
Filed under: Pseudoalteromonas sp. NEC-BIFX-2020_015
Lineage: Bacteria; Pseudomonadati; Pseudomonadota; Gammaproteobacteria; Alteromonadales; Pseudoalteromonadaceae
Description: partial 23S ribosomal RNA
Rfam family: Bacterial large subunit ribosomal RNA (bases 1-88)
Source: RNAcentral